Molecule: long non-coding RNA, 202 nt
Filed under: Linum usitatissimum (flax)
Lineage: Eukaryota; Viridiplantae; Streptophyta; Magnoliopsida; Malpighiales; Linaceae
Description: long non-coding RNA (LUSI_LNC001876)
Source: RNAcentral
CUCCGAUUUCCCACCAACUGUUGAUGUUUCCCUUGUCAUCAAUUUCAAUUUCCCCCACCGAUUUUGGCAGCAUUCAGUAAUUUGUGGUGAGGGUUUCGAUUACUAUAAGCUCAGUUGGAAUCGAUCCGACCAUCCCAUAAUUCCGGCGGGGUGGUCUUGAGGUACAUAUCUCUUACCUUUCCCGAAUCAUGCAGUCUCAGAU